CCUACGGGAGUCAGCAGUGGGGGAUAUUUCACCAUGGGGUGAACCCUGAUGCAGCGACGCCGCGUGGGUUAAGGAGCGUUUCGGCGCGUCAAGCCCUAUCGGACGGGCAGAAGAUGACGUUACCUGACCAAGAAGCCCCUGCUAACUACGUGCCAGCAUCCGCGGUAAUACGUAGGGGGCAAGCGUUAUCAGGAUUUACUGGGUGGACAGGGGGCGCAGACGGCACUGCAAGCCAGGAGUGAAAGCCCGGGGCCCAACCCCGGGACUGCUCUUGGAACUGCAUGGCUGGAGUACAGGAGGGGCAGGCGGAAGUCCUAGUGUAGCGGUGAAAUGCGUAGAUAUUAGGAGGAACACCGGUGGCGAAGGCGGCCUGCUGGACUGUGACUGACGUUGAGGCCCGAAGGCGUGGGGAGCAAACAGGAUUAGAUACCCUUGUAGUC
Molecule: ribosomal RNA, 440 nt
Filed under: uncultured bacterium
Lineage: Bacteria
Description: partial 16S ribosomal RNA
Rfam family: Bacterial small subunit ribosomal RNA
Source: RNAcentral